UAUCAUUUGAUAAAAUAAAAGUGAAAUGUAGUGAAUAUGAUGGCCAUACAGAUAUUAAAACAAAAAAUACGUUAAUAGAAUUUUCAGAGAUAGAAGCAGAAAUUCAUAAUGUUGAGAUAAAUUUUGAGAACUUAGUAGAAUUAAAUAAAGGGAUUUUUAAACAUAAUACAAAAUUGCAUAUGGUACAACAUAAAUCUAAUUCCCCAAUAGAAGAUAGAUGUUUUGUUGAUUUAAUUGAUUUAAAUGAUUCUAAUCUGAAACCUUUAAUGAGCUGCCAAAUGGUAGCAAGAUAUGAGGAUAAAGAUUUUGUUAGAUCAUUUGAACAUAAUAUAAUGUUAAAUUUAUAUAGUGAUUAUGAAAGUGAUAGUGAAUAUGAUAAUAGUUCUAAUUAUAAUAAUAGAAAUAUGAAUAGAAAUAGGCAUAUGUAUGAUAAUACCGCUAGUAAUACUGUUAGUAAUACCGUUAGUAAUACUGCUAGUAAUACCGUUAGUAAUACCGUUAGUUAUGUUAAUAAUAAACCAUCUGGUGUGGAUAAAACCUUGGAUGCAAAAAAAGAAAGGAAACAAGAUAUGGCUGUAUUAACUCCAAAUGACAAUGUAAAAAUGAGUGAUAUUCUAACAGUUGGGUGGACACUAAAUGAUGAAAAAAAUAUAAAUGAAUUUAAUAACAGUGACACAGAAAAAGGAGCAGUUGGAGGCGUUACAUAUGCUACUGAAAAAAGUGAAAAAAUAAAAAAUAAUAAUGGACACACAUUGGAUGACGAUGAUGAUGAUUCAAAAGAAAAAAAACAAGAAUCAUUAAUCACUAAAAUUAUAAAUUUUUUUACGUAUAAGGACAAAAUAGAUGAUCAAAUAAUCCCUUCUACGGAAGAUGUUAUAAAAUACAAACCACUUUUACUCCUUGCAGUUAUAGAUGGUCAUGGAGGUGAAGUAGUAGCAGACUUAAUAAAAAGAUGGUUAAGCUUUUACGUUAAAAAAAAAUUAUUAAAAAAAAUAAAAUCUAAAAAUGGUGAAAAAUUAGAAAAAGAAGACAUAAUAAAUAGUUUAAGAUAUGCAUAUUUAUCAUUAGAAAAAUCUAUUCACAGACAUGCAAAAACAAAUCUUACUUUGGGUUUUUUAAAAUAUGGUACUAUAGGUGCAUGCUCAAUUAGUGUGUUAAUUGAUGAUGAAAAUUAUUAUGUAGCAAAUUUAGGAGAUUCUAAAGUAAUUUUAGUUAGAAAUAACAAUUAUGUGUUAUUAAAUAAUAUACACAAUGCAAGUAUAUUAAGUGAACAACUUAAAUUAAUAAAUGAUCAUCCUGAUGAUGAAGACAUUCUAGUAUGCAAAAGUCGAGUUCAAAAUGUUUCAAUCCUUAAGGAAAACAAUGAUUUUAUCCAAAUAAAUAAAAGUAAUAUAAACACUAAUCCAAAAUACAAAAAACCUUGUUAUGUUAAAGGUAAAUUACAGUGUACCAAAGCUUUUGGAGAUUUUUAUUUAAAAGAUGAAAAGUUUGCUUAUGAUAAAUAUAGAAGAGAAUAUCUUGUAGACAAACCACAUUCAUUUCCUUAUAUAUCUGCAGAUCCUGAAAUAGCAGUACUACAAAAAACUGAGGAUGAUGAAUAUCUGAUUAUGGUAUCUGACGGAAUAACAGACUUUUUAACUGACCUUGAUAUUAUUUCCAUUGUUAAAAUGCAUAACUAUUCGAUUGAAAUAGCUUCAAAAAGAGUUAUUCAAUAUACUUUGUUUAAAGCUGCAUUAAAACGGAAUAUGGACUAUAAAAGUUUACUCAAUUUAUCUUCUAACCGUAAAAGAAAAUACUUUGAUGACAUGACAGUCAUUUUGUAUGAUUUGCGACCGCAAGUGGAGACAGAAGAUGCAGGUGAAACAUAAUAAAAAAA
Molecule: long non-coding RNA, 1876 nt
Organism: Piliocolobus tephrosceles (Ugandan red Colobus)
Lineage: Eukaryota; Metazoa; Chordata; Mammalia; Primates; Cercopithecidae
Source: Ensembl